AUAUGACUUAGUGGCGGACGGGUGAGUAACGCGUGAGGAACCUGCCUUUCAGAGAGGGACAACAGUUGGAAACGACUGCUAAUACCGCAUGACACAUAGGUGUCGCAUGGCACUUAUGUCAAAGAUUUAUCGCUUCAAGAUGGCCUCGCGUCUGAUUAGCUGGUUGGUGAGGUAACGGCCCACCAAGGCGACGAUCAGUAGCCGGACUGAGAGGUUGAACAGCCACAUUGGGACUGAGAUACGGCCCAGACUCC
RNAcentral lists this ribosomal RNA (254 nucleotides) under uncultured Oscillibacter sp. Its description in RNAcentral is "partial 16S ribosomal RNA". It matches the Rfam family "Bacterial small subunit ribosomal RNA", at positions 85 to 339 of the family's 1533-position model. Lineage: Bacteria; Bacillati; Bacillota; Clostridia; Eubacteriales; Oscillospiraceae. The record is from RNAcentral.